CCGGGGCUUCAGCCCCGACCCAUACGGUAAAAAAAUAUAUUUUAUCUGGCCAAAAUAUAUUUUAAAUAUAUGGUAAAUAUAUGUUACAAACAGUGAAGUUCAAUGAAAUAUAUUUUUGAAACUGAAAAUAUAUUUUGUUUCAACCUUCAUAUACUUAAAAUAUAUUUAAACAUGUAUUUCAGGGGCAGGAAAAAUAUAUUUAUAUAUAAAAAAUAUAUUUCAGGGCGCAAGAAAAUACAUUUCCAAUCUUACAGUCGACAAUGCAAAUGUGCGUGGAAGAAAGCCUUGCGAACAAAACUAUCCAUUAUGUUUGAAGAAUUUUAAACACUUACAGAAAAACAUGAAUUUCCACAUAUUUUCCACAUUGACACUUUGUUCACAUAUCUUCCCAAAAAAUACAGAUCUGUGUAAUAGUGAUCAUGGCACCUCACAAAUGUGUGUUUUAGUCUAUUACUUAUUAAUUAAUUCAUUUAUUUAUGUAUUUAAUUGUAAUUUAUUGUCAGUGUAAUAUAGCGUUAAGAUCUGCGUCAAAUACAAAUAAAUAGAUUAAUAAAAUCGCUAGAUGUACGAUGUUAACUGUGACGUAAUUUGAAUGGGAAACCACUAGCAGCGCUCACGGACUUUUGGAGUACUGCGCAUGCGCGUCAUUUUGAACUGUAACGGUCGUCAGUCAACCGGGAGUUCUCGGAGUAAAAGCUGUAGAGUGUUUGGGAGACCGUGCUGCCUGCUGUUGUCGAUCUAUGAUGCUCCUGUCACUGAUAGUGGAGCCUGUAAUUAGCAGAAGCAGAGACGGUUUGUGCAACAGCAACCAGGUGCGGGUCAAAACCCAUCUGUCAAGACGCUUGUCCACUUGCUGUCCGCCCCACCAGCCAACGAUUGUGCUGGAGAACCACAAGUCACAGAAAAAGAGAAUGUCAUAAUCAACUGGAACAGCAUGAGGUGGUAGAGACAGAGAAGAAGUGCCCUUGAUGAGGAAACCAUGGCAGCCAUACGUCAAGAAGAGAUUUCCAAAUGUGUCCAAGGAGGCUUUGAGGAUUUGACGUGGGGAAACUGAGACUUCUUGAAAGCAAAAAAGUUAUAUUUGUUUGAAUAUUGUAAUUUUUUGAACAUUGUAAAGUAUGUUCCUUGCUGAUUAUUAUUCAAAUGUUCAUGUGUUAUAGACAACAAAUAAAAGUUUUUCAAAUGUGA
Molecule: long non-coding RNA, 1188 nt
Organism: Megalobrama amblycephala (Wuchang bream)
Lineage: Eukaryota; Metazoa; Chordata; Actinopteri; Cypriniformes; Xenocyprididae
Exons: 7
Source: RefSeq, a predicted model, not a curated record